RNA transcript from Morus notabilis, 1860 nucleotides. It is a transcript of the gene named serine/arginine-rich splicing factor RSZ21, with no coding region annotated. The record is from RefSeq and is a predicted model, not a curated record. The transcript has 7 exons. NCBI's taxonomy places the organism in Eukaryota, Viridiplantae, Streptophyta, Magnoliopsida, Rosales, Moraceae.
UAGAGCGUUUUCUUGUUUCUAGGGUUUUUGAGAUUUUUUGUUGGAGUCAAUUCGCUUUCUUCCUCGAUCGGUGGAAAAUCUUCUCUAGAAAUCUUCUUCCAUAUUUGGGACUGGUUUGUGAAUUGUGACGAUGUCUCGCGUUUACGUUGGGAAUUUGGAUCCUCGAGUGACUGAAAGAGAUCUGGAAGAUGAAUUCCGGAUGUACGGCGUUCUUCGGAGCGUCUGGGUUGCUAGAAGACCACCGGGAUACGCAUUCCUUGAAUUUGAUGAUCGCAGGGAUGCUCUAGAUGCAAUUCAAGCCUUGGAUGGAAAAAAUGGUUGGCGUGUGGAGCUUUCUCAUAAUUCUAAGGGUGGUGGAGGUCGUGGUGGGGGUGGACGUGGCCGCGGUGGAGGUGAUGACUUGAAGUGUUAUGAGUGUGGUGAGCCUGGACAUUUUGCUAGAGAAUGCCGUCUGCGUGUUGGUUCACGAAGUUUGGGUGGUGGAAGGCGUCGAAGCCCUUCUCCUCGACGCCGCAGAAGCCCAAGUUAUGAUAGAUAUGGGCGAAGGAGUUAUAGUCCGCGUAGGAGGUCUCCCAAACGCCGUAGCAUGUCACCACCAGUUCGAGGAGGUCGAAGCUACAGCAAGUCUCCUCCAUAUCGCCAUGCUCGUCGUGGGUCUCCUUAUGCCAAUGGGGACUGAAGCUGGAACCUGAAGUGGAGCAAAUGCUAGAUGACCUCACAGGAUGACGCACCACUAUACUUUUAGUUCUAGUAGGAUUUGGUUGAAUGGACGAGGAUCAUAUUAGUUAUGUUGAUAUUAUGACAGUGGGUUUUAUUAGAAACAUGGUAUUGGAUGGCUUCUACAAAGCGUGUUGGCUGCCAAAUGGGGUGCUUUGGACACCGUUUUGCGCUGGCUUUCUUGCUUCAGCUUAAUUUUGGAGGUCGGUUUUUGGCUAUAAUGGCAUCGUUGGCCGCUUACUGCAUCUUUAAUGCACAUGGUUCUCAUCUCUGCUUCUGCACCACUAUCUUCUACUUCUUGUUGCUCGUCUACACUAGUGAGUAAAACUGGAAUAUACAGGAAGUGUGGUUGUGUACUUGUGUGGCACUCUUUUGUUGCGUUCUUCUGCAACAAAGCUUCUGGUCUAUCUUCUUUUUUUAGCUGACUCAACCUUAAAGACACUGAAGCUGUUUACUGCACUCGCUUCCUCUGCGUCUCUGCACAUGAUCUUCUCGUUGCUUUCUCUGCAUUUUAGUUCGCUUACUUUGCAUGUUGAAAUAUCCUUAGUAACUCGGCUGCACUCAACCUGUCAACCAUUUAUGAACGCCCCUGUCGUCGUAAAGCUCCCAUCAUAGACUCCCACUUCUCAAUUAGCUGGUUGAAGAAGGUGAAGGUGUUUGUUGGACCAUUGGUUAUAUGCGUCCAAGUUUGGUUUUCGACUGGUUGGUACUCAGCUUCCAUGGUAGUAAUCUUAGGAAAUAGUGACCACCAAACUUCCUCUCUCCUUUUAUUGUGUUCAUUACCUUGUCGGGCCAUGACAUGUCUCCCGCUUUAAUCACUGCAGUCUUGUGAUUUGGUGUUGAGCUUUUGCACCCAAAAUGGAGUUGCGUGAUUGCAGUGGUUGGUUGUACCCGUCAACCAAGUUGUUUUAUUCUAAGCUCGUGUAGAUUAUCUUGCAUUUGGGAUUUCGCCAGUUGGUUGCUGUUUCCUUUUUGUCAUUGUUGUUAUCUCUUUGAUUUAGAUACCAUGACCUUUAUGUCAAAAAAAAAAAAAAAAAGGAGAUGCACGAACCCUCGAUACUUACAGUAUAUGUUGUAAUUUUAACGUUCAGGUUGGUGACAACUUUGUAAAUUCGGUUGAGCAUGCAUUUGUUAACAAUUGUU